This 480-nucleotide ribosomal RNA is filed under the name uncultured bacterium. Its description in RNAcentral is "bacterial SSU rRNA". It matches the Rfam family "Bacterial small subunit ribosomal RNA", at positions 29 to 506 of the family's 1533-position model. The record is from RNAcentral.
UUGAACGCUGGCGGCAUGCCUUACACAUGCAAGUCGAACGGUAACGCGGGGCAACCUGGCGACGAGUGGCGAACGGGUGAGUAAUACAUCGGAACGUGCCCAGUAGUGGGGGAUAGCCCGGCGAAAGCCGGAUUAAUACCGCAUACGACCUAAGGGUGAAAGCAGGGGACCGCAAGGCCUUGCGCUAUUGGAGCGGCCGAUGUCAGAUUAGCUAGUUGGUGGGGUAAAAGCCUACCAAGGCGACGAUCUGUAGCUGGUCUGAGAGGACGACCAGCCACACUGGGACGGAGACACGGCCCAGACUCCUACGGGAGGCAGCAGUGGGGAAUUUUGGACAAUGGGCGCAAGCCUGAUCCAGCCAUGCCGCGUGCGGGAAGGAGGCCUUCGGGUUGUAAACCGCUUUUGUCAGGGAAGAAAUCCUUUGAGCUAAUACCUCAGAGGGAUGACGGUACCUGAAGAAUAAGCACCGGCUAACUACGU